CAAAAAGUGGUGAACUGUGCCUUGGUAGUGCAAAGCCAGAGGAAACACUGAUGGAAGUCCACAGAAAUGUUGAUCUGCAAAUCAGUCAUCCAAACCAAUUAUAAGGACAGAAGGCUAAUCAAGCCACCCAGUAGCU
This 136-nucleotide non-coding RNA is filed under the name Callipepla squamata (scaled quail). RNAcentral's name for it is "Eukaryotic large subunit ribosomal RNA". It matches the Rfam family "Eukaryotic large subunit ribosomal RNA", at positions 817 to 952 of the family's 3401-position model. The record is from Rfam by way of RNAcentral. Lineage: Eukaryota; Metazoa; Chordata; Aves; Galliformes; Odontophoridae.